UACAGGCUUAACACAUGCAAGUCGAGGGGCAGCAUGGUCUUAGCUUGCUAAGGCCGAUGGCGACCGGCGCACGGGUGAGUAACACGUAUCCAACCUGCCGUCUACUCUUGGACAGCCUUCUGAAAGGAAGAUUAAUACAAGAUGGCAUCAUGAGUCCGCAUGUUCACAUGAUUAAAGGUAUUCCGGUAGACGAUGGGGAUGCGUUCCAUUAGAUAGUAGGCGGGGUAACGGCCCACCUAGUCUUCGAUGGAUAGGGGUUCUGAGAGGAAGGUCCCCCACAUUGGAACUGAGACACGGUCCAAACUCCUACGGGAGGCAGCAGUGAGGAAUAUUGGUCAAUGGGCGAGAGCCUGAACCAGCCAAGUAGCGUGAAGGAUGACUGCCCUAUGGGUUGUAAACUUCUUUUAUAAAGGAAUAAAGUCGGGUAUGCAUACCCGUUUGCAUGUACUUUAUGAAUAAGGAUCGGCUAACUCCGUGCCAGCAGCCGCGGUAAUACGGAGGAUCCGAGCGUUAUCCGGAUUUAUUGGGUUUAAAGGGAGCGUAGAUGGAUGUUUAAGUCAGUUGUGAAAGUUUGCGGCUCAACCGUAAAAUUGCAGUUGAUACUGGAUAUCUUGAGUGCAGUUGAGGCAGGCGGAAUUCGUGGUGUAGCGGUGAAAUGCUUAGAUAUCACGAAGAACUCCGAUUGCGAAGGCAGCCUGCUAAGCUGCAACUGACAUUGAGGCUCGAAAGUGUGGGUAUCAAACAGGAUUAGAUACCCUGGUAGUCCACACGGUAAACGAUGAAUACUCGCUGUUUGCGAUAUACGGCAAGCGGCCAAGCGAAAGCGUUAAGUAUUCCACCUGGGGAGUACGCCGGCAACGGUGAAACUCAAAGGAAUUGACGGGGGCCCGCACAAGCGGAGGAACAUGUGGUUUAAUUCGAUGAUACGCGAGGAACCUUACCCGGGCUUAAAUUGCAGAUGAAUUACGGUGAAAGCCGUAAGCCGCAAGGCAUCUGUGAAGGUGCUGCAUGGUUGUCGUCAGCUCGUGCCGUGAGGUGUCGGCUUAAGUGCCAUAACGAGCGCAACCCUUGUUGUCAGUUACUAACAGGUUCCGCUGAGGACUCUGACAAGACUGCCAUCGUAAGAUGUGAGGAAGGUGGGGAUGACGUCAAAUCAGCACGGCCCUUACGUCCGGGGCUACACACGUGUUACAAUGGGGGGUACAGAGGGCCGCUACCACGCGAGUGGAUGCCAAUCCCCAAAACCUCUCUCAGUUCGGACUGGAGUCUGCAACCCGACUCCACGAAGCUGGAUUCGCUAGUAAUCGCGCAUCAGCCACGGCGCGGUGAAUACGUUCCCGGGCCUUGUACACACCGCCCGUCAAGCCAUGGGAGCCGGGGGUACCUGAAGUGCGUAACCGCGAGGAGCGCCCUAGGGUAAAACUGGUGACUGGGGCU
Molecule: ribosomal RNA, 1437 nt
Filed under: uncultured organism
Description: SSU rRNA
Rfam family: Bacterial small subunit ribosomal RNA
Source: RNAcentral